CCUACGAGAGGCAGCAGUGGGGAAUAUUGGGCAAUGGGCGAAAGCCUGACCCAGCAACGCCGCGUGAAGGAAGAAGGCCUUCGGGUUGUAAACUUCCUUUGACAGGGCAGAGCAGAAGACGGUACCUGUCGAAUAAGCUACGGCUAACUACGUGCCAGCAGCCGCGGUAAUACGUAGGGGGCAAGCGUUGUCCGGAUUUACUGGAUGUAAAGGGCGUGUUGGCGGGCUGACAAGUCCGAUGUGAAAUCCGGGGGCUCAACCCCCGAACUGCAGUUGAAACUGUUGGUCUUGAGGAUCGGAGAGGUAGGCGGAAUUCCUAGUGUAGCGGUGAAAUGCGUAGAUAUUAGGAGGAACACCAGUGGCGAAGGCGGCCUGCUGGACGACAACUGACGGUGAGGCGCGAAAGCGUGGGGAGCAAACAGGAUUAGAUACCCCUGUAGUC
This 442-nucleotide ribosomal RNA is filed under the name uncultured bacterium. RNAcentral's name for it is "partial 16S ribosomal RNA". It matches the Rfam family "Bacterial small subunit ribosomal RNA", at positions 338 to 795 of the family's 1533-position model. The record is from RNAcentral.